RNAcentral lists this ribosomal RNA (462 nucleotides) under uncultured Desulfobulbus sp. RNAcentral describes it as "bacterial SSU rRNA". It matches the Rfam family "Bacterial small subunit ribosomal RNA", at positions 925 to 1382 of the family's 1533-position model. Lineage: Bacteria; Pseudomonadati; Thermodesulfobacteriota; Desulfobulbia; Desulfobulbales; Desulfobulbaceae. The record is from RNAcentral.
ACAAGCGGUGGAGUAUGUGGUUUAAUUUCGAUGCAACGCGAAGAACCUUACCUGGUCUUGACAUCCGGAGACCCUUAGGAACUAGGGGUGCUUCCAUCUGGAAGAAUCUGGAGACAGGUGCUGCAUGGCUGUCGUCAGCUCGUGUCGUGAGAUGUUGGGUUAAGUCCCGCAACGAGCGCAACCCUUGCCUUUAGUUGCCAGCAGUUCGGCUGGGCACUCUAAAGGGACUGCCGGUGUUAAACCGGAGGAAGGUGGGGAUGACGUCAAGUCCUCAUGCCCCUUAUGAUCUGGGCUACACACGUGCUACAAUGGCCGGUACAACGGGCAGCGAAGGAGCGAUCCGGAGCGAAUACCUAAAAAGCCGGUCCCAGUUCGGAUUGCAGGCUGAAACUCGCCUACAUGAAGUUGGAGUUGCUAGUAAUCGCGAAUCAGAAUGUCGCGGUGAAUGCGUUCCCGGGUCUU